Molecule: ribosomal RNA, 197 nt
Filed under: uncultured bacterium
Lineage: Bacteria
Description: partial 16S ribosomal RNA
Rfam family: Bacterial small subunit ribosomal RNA
Source: RNAcentral
ACGCUCGACACCUACGGGAGGCAGCAGUGGGGAAUAUUGCACAAUGGGGGAAACCCUGAUGCAGCGACGCCGCGUGAAGGAAGAAGUAUUUCGGUAUGUAAACUUCUAUCAGCAGGGAAGAAAAUGACGGUACCUGACUAAGAAGCCCCGGCUAACUACGUGCCACAGCCGCGGUAAUCUGAGCGGGCUGGCAAGGC